GACGAACGCUGGCGGCGUGCUUAACACAUGCAAGUCGAACGCUGAAGCUCAGCUUUUGUUGGGUGGAUGAGUGGCGAACGGGUGAGUAACACGUGAGUAACCUGCCCCCUUCUUGGGAUAACGCCCGGAAACGGGUGCUAAUACUGGAUAUUCACUGGUCUUCGCAUGGGGGUUGGUGGAAAGGGUUUUUCUGGUGGGGGAUGGGCUCGCGGCCUAUCAGCUUGUUGGUGGGGUGAUGGCCUACCAAGGCUUUGACGGGUAGCCGGCCUGAGAGGGUGACCGGUCACAUUGGGGAUGAGAAUCGGCCCAGACUCCUACGGGAGGCAGCAGUGGGGAAUAUUGCACAAUGGGCGCAAGCCUGAUGCAGCGACGCCGCGUGAGGGAUGGAGGCCUUCGGGUUGUGAACCUCUUUCGCUCAUGGUCAAGCCGCAACAAUGGUUGUGGUGAGGGUAGUGGGUAAAGAAGCGCCGGCUAACUACGUG
This 482-nucleotide ribosomal RNA is filed under the name uncultured bacterium. RNAcentral describes it as "partial 16S ribosomal RNA". It matches the Rfam family "Bacterial small subunit ribosomal RNA", at positions 28 to 507 of the family's 1533-position model. The record is from RNAcentral.